CCUACGGGAGGCAGCAGUAGGGAAUAUUGCGCAAUGGAGGGAACUCUGACGCAGCGACGCCGCGUGAGCGAUGAAGGUUUUCGGAUCGUAAAGCUCUGUCCUUGGGGAAGAAGGUCUUCGGACUUGACGGUACCUAAGGAGGAAGCCCCGGCUAACUACGUGCCAGCAGCCGCGGUAAUACGUAGGUGGCAAGCGUUGUCCGGAAUUACUGGGUGUAAAGGGCGUGUAGGCGGGAAGGCAAGUCAGAUGUGAAAGCCCAUGGCUUAACUGUGGAAUUGCAUCUGAAACUGUUUUUCUUGAGUGCUGGAGAGGAAAGUGGAAUUCCUAGUGUAGCGGUGAAAUGCGUAGAGAUUAGGAGGAACACCAGUGGCGAAGGCGGCUUUCUGGACAGUAACUGACGCUGAGGCGCGAAAGCGUGGGGAGCAAACAGGAUUAGAUACCCGAGUAGUC
This 450-nucleotide ribosomal RNA is filed under the name uncultured bacterium. RNAcentral's name for it is "bacterial SSU rRNA". It matches the Rfam family "Bacterial small subunit ribosomal RNA", at positions 338 to 795 of the family's 1533-position model. The record is from RNAcentral.